GCUGACUAGCUAGCCAAUACAUUUGGUCUAACACCACAAUAUACAUACCCCAAUAAAACUUAGAAUUAAGUCAACAAACCAUUUUUCCACCUUAGUACGGGCGACCGAAAAGGAGAUAACUGAGCAACAGAAAAAGUACCGCAAGGGAAAGCUGAAAGAGAAUUGAAAUAAUCCAUUUAAGCCUAGAAAAGCAGAGAUUAAAUCUCGUACCUUUUGCAUCAUGAUUUAGCCAGCAAACCUGAGCAAAGAGAACUUUAGUUCAGGCCCCCGAAACUAGACGAGCUACUCCGGGACAGCCUAUUAUAGGGCUAACCCGUCUCUGUGGCAAAAGAGUGGGACGAGCCCCGAGUAGAGGUGAUAAACCUAUCGAGCCUAGUUAUAGCUGGUUGCUUAGGAAAUGAAUAGAAGUUCAGCCCCCCGGCUUUCUUAGGACCUUGAGGUAAAACUAAUAUUGUCCCAAAGAAACCAGGAGAGUUAGUCAAAGGAGGUACAGCUCCUUUGAACAAGGACACAACCUUAACAGGCGGCUAAGGAUCAUAAUUACUAAGGUAACCUGUUACAGUGGGCCUAAGAGCAGCCACCUGCACAGAAAGCGUUAAAGCUCAGACAGAUAUAAACCUCUUAUCCUGAUAAGAAAUCCCACCCCCCUAACCGUACUAAGCCAUUCCAUGCCCCCAUGGAAGAGAUUAUGCUAGAAUGAGUAAUAAGAGAGAACAACUCUCUCCCAGCACAUGUGUAAGUCGGAUCGGACCCACCCCCGACAAAUAACGAACCCAAACCAAGAGGGAACUGUAGGCCAGAAUAAACACCGAGAAGAACCUACACCAACGAAUCGUUAACCCCACACAGGAGUGCCCCCAGGGAAAGACCCAAAGGAAGAGAAGGAACUCGGCAAACACAAGCCUCGCCUGUUUACCAAAAACAUCGCCUCUUGCAAAUCAAAACAUAAGAGGUCCCGCCUGCCCUGUGACUAUGGGUUUAACGGCCGCGGUAUUUUGACCGUGCGAAGGUAGCGCAAUCACUUGUCUUUUAAAUGAAGACCUGUAUGAAUGGCAUCACGAGGGCUUAGCUGUCUCCUCUUCCAAGUCAAUGAAAUUGAUCUGCCCGUGCAGAAGCGGACAUAAGCACAUAAGACGAGAAGACCCUAUGGAGCUUUAGACACCAGGCAGAUCACGUCAAACAACCUUGGAUUAACAAGUAAAAACGCAGUGACCCCUAGCCCAUAUGUCUUUGGUUGGGGCGACCGCGGGGGAAAAUUAAGCCCCCAUGUGGACUGGGGGCACUGCCCUCACAGCCAAGAGCUACAACUCUAAGCACCAGAAUAUCUGACCAAAAAUGAUCCGGCAAACGCCGAUCAACGGACCGAGUUACCCUAGGGAUAACAGCGCAAUCCUCUCCCAGAGUCCCUAUCGACGAGGGGGUUUACGACCUCGAUGUUGGAUCAGGACAUCCUAAUGGUGCAGCCGCUAUUAAGGGUUCGUUUGUUCAACGAUUAAAGUCCUACGUGAUCUGAGUUCAGACCGGAGUAAUCCAGGUCAGUUUCUAUCUAUGAAGUGUUGUUUCCUAGUACGAAAGGACCGGAAAGAAGGGGCCCAUGCUUAAGGCACGCCCCACCCCCACCUGAUGAAGGCAACUAAAACAGACAAGGGGGCACACCAAGAUUGCCUAAAAGAACGGCGCGCUAAGAUGG
RNAcentral lists this ribosomal RNA (1690 nucleotides) under Oncorhynchus kisutch (coho salmon). RNAcentral describes it as "16S ribosomal RNA". It matches the Rfam family "Bacterial large subunit ribosomal RNA". The record is from RNAcentral. Lineage: Eukaryota; Metazoa; Chordata; Actinopteri; Salmoniformes; Salmonidae.